Molecule: long non-coding RNA, 185 nt
Organism: Lutra lutra (Eurasian river otter)
Lineage: Eukaryota; Metazoa; Chordata; Mammalia; Carnivora; Mustelidae
Exons: 2
Source: RefSeq, a predicted model, not a curated record
AACUUGUGAAAAGACUUAAAACCAAGACUGCACAGGAUGCAGGAGAACAGGGAUUUUAUUUACUUAUUUAUUUUUAACAAAAGACUAUUGUAUCUUAGUUAUUUCAUAAUCAUUAAAAAAAAUUAUAGAAAAUUGUUCUGAUAAAUCGAUGACAAAAUGACAUCCUUCCUGUCAUUCCAUUGAUU